UUGUUGAGUCUUAUAUUAUUUAAAAUUACUGUGUGGGCCUAAAAUUAGCCAUCACAAAAGUUUGUUAUAAAAUAGCAAAGUAUAUUAAAAAUAUUAUUAUAUGUAGCACCAUAAAAACUUAUAAGAACAAUGAUCUAAACUAAAAGAUUUAAUAUGCCUAUGCUAGGAUGAGUAUUAUAAAGUUAUAUAUUAGGUAAAACUAGUACUUCUAAAAAAAUAUUUUUUAUAUAAAUUAAAGAGAAGGAAUUUGGCAAAUAUUGUUUCGCCUGUUUAUCAAAAACAUGGCUCUUUGAAAAGAACAAAUAGAGAGUCGAACCUGCCCGGUGAAUUAUUUUAACGGCCGCGGUACCCUGACCGUGCAAAGGUAGCAUAAUCAUUUGCCUUAUAAUUGAAGGCUAGCAUGAAUGGUCUGACGAAAGCAAUACUGUCUCCUCUUUAUUUUUUAGAAAUUAACUUAUAGGUGAAGAGGCCUAUAUUAUAUUGAAG
This 486-nucleotide ribosomal RNA is filed under the name Melanoides tuberculata. Its description in RNAcentral is "partial 16S ribosomal RNA". The stretch from base 189 to 427 matches the Rfam family "Bacterial large subunit ribosomal RNA", at positions 1712 to 2018 of the family's 2925-position model. Lineage: Eukaryota; Metazoa; Mollusca; Gastropoda; Thiaridae. The record is from RNAcentral.